This 275-nucleotide ribosomal RNA is filed under the name uncultured bacterium. RNAcentral describes it as "partial 16S ribosomal RNA". It matches the Rfam family "Bacterial small subunit ribosomal RNA", at positions 523 to 796 of the family's 1533-position model. The record is from RNAcentral.
AUACGGAGGGUGCAAGCGUUAAUCGGAAUUACUGGGCGUAAAGCGUACGUAGGCGGUUUAUUAAGUCAGAUGUGAAAGCCCCGGGCUUAACCCGGGAACUGCAUUUGAAACUAGUAGACUAGAGUAUGGUAGAGGGGGGUAGAAUUCCUAGUGUAGCGGUGAAAUGCGUAGAUAUUAGGAGGAAUACCAGUGGCGAAGGCGGCCCCCUGGACCAAUACUGACGCUGAGGUACGAAAGCGUGGGGAGCGAACAGGAUUAGAUACCCCCGGUAGUCC